AUGCAAGUCGAACGGUGAAAGCGGAGCUUGCUCUGCUGGAUCAGUGGCGAACGGGUGAGUAACACGUGAGCAAUCUGCCCCUGACUCUGGGAUAAGCGCUGGAAACGGCGUCUAAUACUGGAUACGAGCUGCGAAGGCAUCUUCAGCAGCUGGAAAGAACUUCGGUCAGGGAUGAGCUCGCGGCCUAUCAGCUAGUUGGUGAGGUAAUGGCUCACCAAGGCGUCGACGGGUAGCCGGCCUGAGAGGGUGACCGGCCACACUGGGACUGAGACACGGCCCAGACUCCUACGGGAGGCAGCAGUGGGGAAUAUUGCACAAUGGGCGAAAGCCUGAUGCAGCAACGCCGCGUGAGGGACGACGGCCUUCGGGUUGUAAACCUCUUUUAGCAGGGAAGAAGCGAAAGUGACGGUACCUGCAGAA
RNAcentral lists this ribosomal RNA (420 nucleotides) under actinobacterium BAL158. RNAcentral's name for it is "bacterial SSU rRNA". It matches the Rfam family "Bacterial small subunit ribosomal RNA", at positions 55 to 486 of the family's 1533-position model. Lineage: Bacteria; Bacillati; Actinomycetota; Actinomycetes. The record is from RNAcentral.